GAAUAUUAAGAACUCUUUUAGAACUUGUCUAGCAGGUUUUCUGGUUUCUACUGGAAGUUUCUUACCCCA
Rhinopithecus bieti (black snub-nosed monkey) is the source of this 69-nucleotide small nuclear RNA. Its record names the gene U7. It matches the Rfam family "U7 small nuclear RNA". Rfam says of the family: Animal histone pre-mRNAs are spliced by a different mechanism than nuclear pre-mRNAs and self-splicing introns. This processing involves the U7 snRNP, which contains only one RNA species: U7. The 5' end of U7 RNA is thought to base-pair to a conserved spacer element downstream of the cleavage site in histone pre-mRNA. The record is from Ensembl. Lineage: Eukaryota; Metazoa; Chordata; Mammalia; Primates; Cercopithecidae.